RNAcentral lists this transfer RNA (74 nucleotides) under uncultured Clostridium sp. RNAcentral describes it as "tRNA-Gln(ttg)". It matches the Rfam family "tRNA". Rfam says of the family: Transfer RNA (tRNA) molecules are approximately 80 nucleotides in length. The record is from RNAcentral. Lineage: Bacteria; Bacillati; Bacillota; Clostridia; Eubacteriales; Clostridiaceae. RNAcentral also lists the same sequence under 1 other name.
UUGGGCUAUCGCCAAGCGGUAAGGCACAGGACUUUGACUCCUGCAUUCGGCAGUUCGAAUCUGCCUAGCCCAGG